CACACGGUGGCUUAGUGGUUAUAUACAUCCGCCUCACACCUCCAGGCUCUGGGGUUCGAUUCCCGCCGUGUGU
This is a non-coding RNA of Ameiurus melas (black bullhead), 73 nucleotides long. The record is from the annotation of a GenBank genome assembly. NCBI's taxonomy places the organism in Eukaryota, Metazoa, Chordata, Actinopteri, Siluriformes, Ictaluridae.